GGCCUUGUAGCUCAGCUGGUAGAGCGCGCGCGUGCAAAGCGUAGGCAGCGUCCAUGUAUGGGUUCGAAUCCAACCGAGGCUA
This 82-nucleotide transfer RNA is filed under the name Echinostoma caproni. It matches the Rfam family "tRNA". Rfam says of the family: Transfer RNA (tRNA) molecules are approximately 80 nucleotides in length. Their secondary structure includes four short double-helical elements and three loops (D, anti-codon, and T loops). Further hydrogen bonds mediate the characteristic L-shaped molecular structure. tRNAs have two regions of fundamental functional importance: the anti-codon, which is responsible for specific mRNA codon recognition, and the 3' end, to which the tRNAs corresponding amino acid is attached (by aminoacyl-tRNA synthetases). tRNAs cope with the degeneracy of the genetic code in two manners: having more than one tRNA (with a specific anti-codon) for a particular amino acid; and 'wobble' base-pairing, i.e. permitting non-standard base-pairing at the 3rd anti-codon position. The record is from Rfam by way of RNAcentral. Lineage: Eukaryota; Metazoa; Platyhelminthes; Trematoda; Plagiorchiida; Echinostomatidae.